GGUAUGUGAACAAGGGUGGGUAGGCAGGUGGGCCCUGAGUCCAGGCCUAACACACAGCGCUGGGGGAUGGGGAGGAGCACAUACCCAUAGCUAAGGGAAUGGCAUGAGGGUACCAUAAGGCUAAGUGGAGGCCCUGAGCCCAGCCUGAACUCUGCACUGAAGUUUGAAGGAAAAGAAGAAGUUGGAGGAUAUGAGGUUAAUCAACCGUAACCCCUCCCUUCCAGGGCCCUAUGGGCAGCUGAGGCCAGAGCUGCGUCUGGAGCAUUUGGGUGAGUUGAGCAUCUUUAUGAGCCUGGGAUGAAGGAGCUGGGAAGGCAGACGUCCCUGGUGUCACACAUAUCCCUGUUUCGUGGACCAUGUUGUAGGGGAUCCUGAACUGAAGACAUAUACCAAGAGCCCAUUGGGAAAUGGUUACAGAGGUAAGAGGAGUCUUGGUGGCUCAUAAGCUCCUCCCAGGUGUCCCAGACCUUGGCAGGGAUAGCAGGCUCCAAGGCCUUAGAGUGCUGAGUAUCGACCCUAGACAUCACCGGUGCCCCACCCUGUUCUGCCUCUCCCCAGGACACUGCCCCUCUGGGGAAUGCUGAAUGGAAGCUUCCCUGCCUACCCUGAGGGUCUCUGCAUUACAGCCUGGCUGGAGAAGCACAGCAGGAGGAUCUUCUCAACACUUGCCUAGGCCACUGCCCUGUCCCUGUCUCCUCUGGGCUGAAGUAUUAAUAAAAGCUAUAUGGUUCCCCGUUUGCCUCUGUGUGCUGUGGAGGGAUGCCGACUUCAGGGAGGGUGGCACAGGGCACCUCCGUUCAUCAUCAUCCGCCCAUCAAGCGACAAUGGGCUCGGUGAUGAGGCCUCCAAACGGAAGACAACGAAACAGACAUAAAACCUGUCCCAAGGGAGGGGUGUCAUUUGGUCACAAUCUAAUGGAGAAAAAUAAUGCCAACUGAGGGGUCUUUCAACUGGGUAUGUACCUCAGUACUGCCCGGAAUG
This 981-nucleotide long non-coding RNA is filed under the name Rattus norvegicus (Norway rat). RNAcentral's name for it is "long non-coding RNA NONRATT005236". Lineage: Eukaryota; Metazoa; Chordata; Mammalia; Rodentia; Muridae. The record is from RNAcentral.